GUCAUUUCCCCCGCAGAUAUCUACCCAAAGCCGAAACCCCCGUACCGCCCCCAGCCCGGGAUGUCGGACGACAGUGGAAAUAUCUACCCAAAGCCGAAACCCCCGUACCGCCCCCAGCCCGGGAUGUCGGACGACAGUGGAAGUAUCUACCCCAGGCCGAGGCCACCCCCUCGCCCGCAGCCCGGUGGUUCAGACAGCGGGGGAGGUUACUUCGGCAACACCGACCGGGAUGACGGCCGCUACCCGCCCAGACCCAAGCCGCCCGCAGGUAAGCCCGUGGCUUCUCUCACUCUGCUGGCGAGGUGUUGGGGAGGCCUGGGUGCAGAGUCGGCCCCGAGCGUAAGA
This 345-nucleotide long non-coding RNA is filed under the name Ursus americanus (American black bear). Its description in RNAcentral is "lncRNA (ENSUAMG00000017213.1)". Lineage: Eukaryota; Metazoa; Chordata; Mammalia; Carnivora; Ursidae. The record is from RNAcentral.